AUACGUAGGUGACAAGCGUUAUCCGGAUUUACUGGGCGUAAAGAGCGUGUAGGCGGUCUUGCAAGUCAGAAGUGAAAUUCCUGAGCUCAACUCGGGCGCUGCUUCUGAAACUGCAGGACUUGAGUGCUGGAGGGGAUAGCGGAAUUCCUAGUGGAGCGGUAAAAUGCGCAGAUAUUAGGAAGAACACCGGUGGCGAAGGCGGCUAACUGGCCAGUAACUGACGCUGAGCCGCGAAAGCGUGGGGAGCAAUCAGGAUUAGAUACCCUGGUAGUCCACGCCGUAAACGAUGAAGACUAGGUGUAGGGGGUAUCGACUCCCUCUGUGCCGCAGUUAACACAAUAAGUAUUCCGCCUGGGGAGUACGGCCGCAAGGUUGAAGCUCAAAUGAAUUGACGGGG
This 397-nucleotide ribosomal RNA is filed under the name uncultured bacterium. RNAcentral's name for it is "partial 16S ribosomal RNA". It matches the Rfam family "Bacterial small subunit ribosomal RNA", at positions 523 to 918 of the family's 1533-position model. The record is from RNAcentral.